Molecule: long non-coding RNA, 1203 nt
Organism: Crotalus tigris (Tiger rattlesnake)
Lineage: Eukaryota; Metazoa; Chordata; Lepidosauria; Squamata; Viperidae
Exons: 3
Source: RefSeq, a predicted model, not a curated record
GGACUGGCUGACAAACCUGACCCGGCUCUCUGAACGUCAGCCAGCUUUUAGAACUUAAGAAGCGGCUCGGAUGAGAAGCUAAACGUUUUCAAGGAAAAAAGUGCGGCUUUUCCUAAAACGAAUAACUUGAGAGAUGGAGAUACUGUCCCCGCCAGUACCACCUACCUCCCUUUGUUCCCGGCAAGUGAUGGUGGCUCAGCACAGCUGUGGUGUGAAAUCAGAGCAUCCACUUCACACACGGCCACCAAGAGUUUCAUUGCAGAAACCCUUUUCAUUACUGUACAGAGAAGGCGUCAUCCUGUCCUGCUCACUGCCUGUUUUUGCACCAGAUCUCGCUUCUCUCAGGGAAACGUGACCAGGGAGGACUCAGCCCACUUGACACUGCCGGACUCGACCCUUUCCAGCGUCCCCCAGCAGAGUGAAACUGAAUGCAGAAGACAGAGCUCACCUUCCAGCGUCCACGGCGGCCGUGAUGGCAAACCGGAAGUCUCGAUCUUGAACCUGUCUUCUGAGGUGUUGGCUAUUCCUGCCAACUUGGUGUCAUCUCCAAAUUUGAUGAGUUCCUAUUCCCUCAUCUGAGUUGUUUAUGAAGAUACUGAAGAGUACUGGGCCUAAGACGGAACUUGUUCACAGACUAUGCUUCUGCAGACUCACUCGGCCCACUCAUGGGUUAAUACGAAGAAUGGCUUAGCCAGCCAUGGGAGGGGAGAUCCCCUUCCUCGUUUUCUAAAGGGAUCCAUAAGAUGGGCUUCUCAGCAUAGAAGGAGUAUGAGAUCAGUUGUGUUUCUGAAAAGCCUUUGAAAUGUGGUUUUUCCACCAAUGUUGGGGAUCCCAUGGAGCAACUGUAAGAUGAUUGCAUGAUAUUAGGUCAUUUUAUUCUCCUGCAACCUUUUUAUGUUUCAUUUUUAUUCAUGUUUUAGUGUUUUGCAUGUUUUAUGUUUUUUCAUAUGAAUUACUUUAAUAGCAUGUUUUAGUAUUUAUAUAGCACAUGUAUGAAUACAAAUACAAAACCCAGCCAUAAAUAUUAAUCUUCUUUAGUGAGAACAGCUGAGUAUGCUUAAGAGAGAAAUUAACACCCGACUAACAAAAUGACAGUGGCAAAGCUGUGGAUUCCCUUGUGUACAUGUGUGUGGGUGUUGAAAACUCUGGAUGUCAUCUUACCAGCCACACUCUCCCUUGCCCUCAGCUGCUGAUGGGGGCGAG